UCUGGUGGCUUAGAUAGUAAAGAAUCUGCCUUCAGUGCAGGAGACCCAGGUUCAAUCCCUGGGUCAGAA
Molecule: transfer RNA, 69 nt
Filed under: Ovis aries (sheep)
Lineage: Eukaryota; Metazoa; Chordata; Mammalia; Artiodactyla; Bovidae
Rfam family: tRNA
About the family: Transfer RNA (tRNA) molecules are approximately 80 nucleotides in length.
Source: Rfam by way of RNAcentral